Molecule: long non-coding RNA, 446 nt
Filed under: Malus domestica (apple)
Lineage: Eukaryota; Viridiplantae; Streptophyta; Magnoliopsida; Rosales; Rosaceae
Description: long non-coding RNA (MDOM_LNC015033)
Source: RNAcentral
UUGUGAUUGUAAUAGCAAGAUAUUAUGUGAAAUAAUAUAUUGCAAUUAACAUGGCAAUUAAUCUCAAAUUGAAUAGGAAAAUUGCAAGUUACAUUUUGAGUGAGGAUUUGAUGAGGAGUGAUGAGAGGGUUUUGAAUAAAUACCAUUUUGAUCACCUUUGACUCUUCAUUGAUUGAGCUGUUAUUGUCCGUUGCAUGCACGUGGGGAUCUUGGUGUGCCUCGAUGGUAAUUUUGUCCUUUUUACCCAAAAGUACCAUAAUUUUCUUAAUUAUUUUUUGGCUCCACAAAUGCCCCCUACCUGCUAGGCUGCUCCCAGGAAAGGGCAACAGGUGUAGAGAUCUCCAACUUUGAUGCAGAUUCCCACUUGACUUGAAAUUAUAUUCUUCUAAGAAAGGGAAAUAAAUCACCUCCAAAGCCUAUUUAAGCCUACCUUAAGUAGAUGAUUA